Molecule: RNA transcript, 3114 nt
Organism: Onychomys torridus (southern grasshopper mouse)
Lineage: Eukaryota; Metazoa; Chordata; Mammalia; Rodentia; Cricetidae
Gene name: atherin-like
Exons: 4
Source: RefSeq, a predicted model, not a curated record
AGUACCCGGAUGUGGGAGGCCGCGGGCGGUGGCGGCCUCGCGCACAAUGAGCCCCAGCCGAGUUAGCUAAGGGGGAGAUUGCACAACACAGACAAGCGCAGCAGACUGGGGGAGGGGAGCCUCUCAAGCGGCCAUGUGCUCACUCGCCCCGCCACUCGGCGGCGUCUCCCCCGCCGUCAAACAAUCCGCAACCCGCCCGCCCCCGUCGAGAAAUGGCGUCGCCCUCCCAUACCUCAGGCCGCUCACCCCCGAAGCAAAGUGGACCUGCCCAUCCGCAGUUUGCCAAUUGCCCGGCUUGUGCGGCAAAAUGGACCCGCCCGCCCGGCGCCGGGUGGGCUCCCGGUGCCUCACGCGGCCGCUCCUCGGGGUCGGGCUCAGUCCUGGCCGUCAAGAAAACCAGCACCCUGAACGGCCCGUUUCUCCUGCCCCGACCCACUCGAGAGCCACGAGGGGGCUGGCGAAGACCCGGGCACCCCUGCCUGCCGCAAGUGGUACCGCCAGAAUCCUCCGGAGCCCGCGCUGCGCUGCCCGGCCCUGCCCCGCCGACACAGGCAGGCCACCCGGCCAGCCGGCUCCGGGCCGCGCAGCCGCCUCUUCCCCACGCGAGGUCGCGACCUCGCCUCGCCUUCCAGUACCCGGGCCUCGCGUACGGCAGCCCCUCGGGCAGGGGCCUCGCGGCGAACCUCGCGCCCCAGCCCUAGCCCGGCUGUCCUUGCCGUCUCCGCGCUGGUGGCAGCGUCGGCCGUGGACCUGCCCGUGCCCCCCUCCGGACGGUUCCUCCCGGCUCGGUGCCCCCGCAGCCUGGCAGGUUUGGGGCGAUGGGCCUCUCAACCUCCCCCCGCGGGACCUUCGGAAGGGAGCGGCGGGCCUCCUCAAACCUUAGGGCAGCGGCGAUUUAGAGUGCGCUGGGAGUCAAAAUAGGUGAUGGUGCGCCGCCUUACAUCAACCGAGAUAAGGGACCAGUGCACCUCCAGAUGGAUGGGGAUUAGCAGUAGUUCCUUAUUGAAGAUGUCCACCUGAAGAGAGAGGGCUGGAGGUCAGAAACAACAGAAAACUGCUGACUGCAAUGAGGACUCUAAAGAGAGACUAUGGAACAGGGUCCCUCACUGACGUAGGACGCAAUGAGUAAGCUUGGCAGGCUGGACAGCAAGUCCCAGGAAUCCUCUUAUCUCCACUUCCACAGGAUUGAUAUUGCCGUUACCAGUGGCCUGGCUUUUUUAGAUCUCACCUCAUCCUUCCAGGCUUCCAGGACAUCAGGACUCUGCUCAUGAAAGAGGGUCGUUUAACUAAAGAUACACGGGUCUCAACGCGAGGAAGAGCUCGGAUUUCUGCACCUGUCCUAGGCCCCUGCUCUGGGCACUGACUGCCUUCCAGGGUGUUCUGGGUACAAGAAGUAUCAAUCUUUAACAGUUUAUUUUCCUGGAAUGGCUGUUCCCUUGACUUCUGAAUCCAGGGCCGCCUCUUGCACCUACUUGAAAUUUUGCAGACUGAGAGGCCCUGAGACCCCCUCCGCCAAUUCUUCCUUCCCCCCAGACUCCCCUGUCCCCUUACUCACCUGUUCCCAGAGGCUCUGCCACGGACGUUCUCCUCGCUUCUGGGAAGGUCCUCCGCUCCGCUGCUGCAGCCGGCUCACCUCCCUCCUCAGACUUUGCAGCUCUGUUUGUUGGAUCAGUAGUGCCACAGCACAAGUCACAGCCCCCAGAACCGCCCCCCAACUCAACCAGAGAGCAACCGAGAGGGUUGGCUCUCGGGCUGAGCCCCCCAUGUUGCCCGGAGAUGAGGCUGGCAUGAGCUGGGGAUGCUGCCCACAGCUGUGGUCUCAGGAAUGAGGUGGCCCGGAGGUAGCAGGGAGGGUGGGAAUACCGGCAGGCACAGAAGGGGAGAGCGCAGUUACGCAAGGAAAGAAUAAAAAGGAACUUGAGAAUAAAAAGGAGAGAGGAAGAAAGCAAACUAGGGGUGCUGUUAGUACCCCUGCUCCCCCCCCCCCGAGCUAGUGUCACUCUGCCCCCCACCCCAACUCCCAGCCUCAGAAGAAUUUGGUGCCAAUUAUCUAGGAAGGACAGAGCGGCCUGUGACACCCAGAAGGAGCGGCCAGCACUCAGGAGCCCAGGGACGGCCCCUGAGUUGGAGGAGGGAAGGUCGGUUGGUUAUGGGGCAUGGUGCCAGGAGCAGGGAAGGGGUAAAAACUGGGCAGCAUUGAGGUUUCGAAGGUGAGUGUGGCAGAGCCUCUGACUCGGUCAUGGGCAGGAUCUCUGAGGAGGCUCCUUAGGGGUGACUGAAGAUGAAAAAGGGGUUGAGGGGCCAGCAGGGAAGAGAACCAGGGACAAGAAACUGGCAGGGUGCUGGGGUUAAGGCUGGGCCGGGUGUGCUGGAACCAGGCCUGCACUACUCCCUGUGCUGAACUUGGCAAGCUGGACUUCCUGUUUCCCAAGAAGAGUUCUUACAUAAGGCUCUCUGGGCAAAGAGACAAAAAAAGGAGCCCCAAGCCCCCCACCCCCCCACCCCCGCCACUGCAGCACUCCCCAGACCCAGGGGCCAGGCUCAGGCACCUGGCCCCUGCUGCCCUUCCCCUGGCUCUGAGCCCCUUUCCAGGCUAGCUCCCACCCCAUCUCCUAGCUCGGGCCUGCGCCAGCCAGCACCUGCUGAACUGCUGUGCCUUCUAAGGCCGCCAACAGGAAGGGCCCCUGCUCCUCCCAGUCAGGGAUUCCCCCUGCAGGAGGAAGUCCGCCUGUUAAGGAAAUGAGAUUGCUUCUGCAGUACCUUGAGCAGAGGGCCAGGUGGUUUUGUUUUUCUGAUACCUUUGUGAUUUCUACUCAGAAUUGCAGCUUAAAUGCCUACACUUCCUUCCCAUGACUUUCAGUUAAUUCUGGGCCCCAAAGAAGAGAGAAAUCAUGAUUUAUUCUCUUUAAUAUCCAUUUAACAUUUUGUCACAAUAAUAAUAAAAAUAGUAUCUUUUCAAAAUCCACAGGGAUCCAGGGAGGGGCUCUUAGCCCUCACAUUUGGGAACUUCUGGCCCAGUCCCAGGCUUUUUGCUUCCUGCUGCCAGGUCCAGCCCAUCUCAGUGCCUGAUGCACACAGUCAGUAAACACAGUGUCCUGGGGGCCGGGGCGGAGG